GAGUUUGAUCAUGGCUCAGGAUGAACGCUGGCGGCGUGCCUAACACAUGCAAGUCGAGCGAUUUACUUCGGUAAAGAGCGGCGGACGGGUGAGUAACGCGUGGGUAACCUGCCUCAUACACAUGGAUAACAUACCGAAAGGUAUGCUAAUACAGGAUAAUAUAAGAGAUUCACAUGGAUUUCUUAUCAAAGCUCCGGCGGUAUGAGAUGGACCCGCGUCUGAUUAGCUAGUUGGUAAGGUAAUGGCUUACCAAGGCGACGAUCAGUAGCCGACCUGAGAGGGUGAUCGGCCACAUUGGAACUGAGACACGGUCCAAACUCCUACGGGAGGCAGCAGUGGGGAAUAUUGCACAAUGGGCGAAGCCUGAUGCAGCAACGCCGCGUGAGUGAUGAAGGCCUUCGGGUCGUAAAACUCUGUCCUCAAGGAAGAUAAUGACGGUACUUGAGGAGGAAGCCCCGGCUAACUACGUGCCAGCAGCCGCGGUAAUAC
Molecule: ribosomal RNA, 489 nt
Filed under: uncultured bacterium
Lineage: Bacteria
Description: bacterial SSU rRNA
Rfam family: Bacterial small subunit ribosomal RNA
Source: RNAcentral